RNAcentral lists this ribosomal RNA (406 nucleotides) under uncultured Pseudanabaenaceae cyanobacterium. RNAcentral describes it as "bacterial SSU rRNA". It matches the Rfam family "Bacterial small subunit ribosomal RNA", at positions 355 to 776 of the family's 1533-position model. Lineage: Bacteria; Bacillati; Cyanobacteriota; Cyanophyceae; Pseudanabaenales; Pseudanabaenaceae. The record is from RNAcentral.
UGGGGAAUUUUCCGCAAUGGGCGAAAGCCUGACGGAGCAACGCCGCGUGCGGGAUGACGGCCUGUGGGUUGUAAACCGCUUUUCUCUGGGAAGAAGAUCUGACGGUACCAGAGGAAUCAGCAUCGGCUAACUCCGUGCCAGCAGCCGCGGUAAUACGGAGGAUGCAAGCGUUAUCCGGAAUUAUUGGGCGUAAAGCGUCCGCAGGCGGCUUAUCAAGUCUGCUGUUAAAGGCUGGGGCUUAACUCCGGUUAGGCAGUGGAAACUGAUAGGCUAGAGUGUGGUAGGGGUAGAGGGAAUUCCCAGUGUAGCGGUGAAAUGCGUAGAUAUUGGGAAGAACACCAGUGGCGAAGGCGCUCUACUGGGCCACAACUGACGCUGAGGGACGAAAGCUAGGGGAGCGAAAGGG